RNAcentral lists this ribosomal RNA (465 nucleotides) under uncultured bacterium. RNAcentral describes it as "partial 16S ribosomal RNA". It matches the Rfam family "Bacterial small subunit ribosomal RNA", at positions 28 to 507 of the family's 1533-position model. The record is from RNAcentral.
GACGAACGCUGGCGGCGUGCUUAACACAUGCAAGUCGAACGGAAAGGCCCUGCUUGCAGGGUACUCGAGUGGCGAACGGGUGAGUAACACGUGGGUGAUCUGCCCUGCACUUCGGGAUAAGCCUGGGAAACUGGGUCUAAUACCGGAUAGGAGCCAUUUUUAGUGUGAUGGUUGGAAAGUUUUUUCGGUGUAGGAUGAGCUCGCGGCCUAUCAGCUUGUUGGUGGGGUAAUGGCCUACCAAGGCGGCGACGGGUAGCCGGCCUGAGAGGGUGGACGGCCACAUUGGGACUGGGGUACGGCCCAGACUCCUACGGGAGGCAGCAGUGGGGAAUAUUGCACAAUGGGCGCAAGCCUGAUGCAGCGACGCCGCGUGGGGGAUGACGGCCUUCGGGUUGUAAACUCCUUUCGCUAGGGACGAAGCUUUUUGUGACGGUACCUAGAGAAGAAGCACCGGCUAACUACGUG